Molecule: transfer RNA, 84 nt
Filed under: Candidatus Uhrbacteria bacterium
Lineage: Bacteria; Candidatus Uhriibacteriota
Description: tRNA-Leu
Rfam family: tRNA
About the family: Transfer RNA (tRNA) molecules are approximately 80 nucleotides in length.
Source: RNAcentral
GGGCGAGUGGUGAAACUGGUAGACACGCAUGGUUCAGGGCCAUGUGUUCGCGAGAACGUGAGGGUUCGACUCCCUCCUCGCCCA